AACGCCCCUAGCCGGCUCACUUCCGGUGGGCUUCACAAGCUGUGGGGCGUCACUGUUAAGGUGAGGUGAGAGAAUUGAGGUUUGGAGUUAUUAAGCAGCUUGCCCAAAGUCACCUUGCAGAAGAUCCCUCUGGCUGCCAUAAGGAGAAUGGAUUGGAAGGAGCCAGUAUGCCUGAGGAAGAUAGAGCUUUUAGGAGUCUCUUGUAGUUGUACAGGCAUUUAGUUACUAGAGGAUGUUUGCCACCAAGAUGGUGCCAGUGCUGAAAGAGGAAGACAUUAGGAGCUCCAACACAGAUGGCAGGAAUCCUCAGGAUGACUUGGAGAGCAACCAGUCCAGACUGUAGCAAGUCAGGUUCUGGGGAAGGCUACUUCAUAAGGAUGAGCAAUUUGAGAGAGAUUUAGACAAUCAGCAACAAGGUUGGGGUUGAAUUGGUAAUAAAUACAUGAAAAAUAAGCCAGUGGGACAAUUAAUAUUAGAUGAGAAAGGAAUAGUGUUGAAAUGUUACUUCAUGGCUCAAUUGUGCAGUUUCCACAUAAUCCCAAUAAUGUGAAUUGAAUAUUGAGCUAGACAAAAUUAUGGCAUAACUAUACUGGAAAGAUGGGGGAAUGAAAAGAGCAUUUGUGUGCAUAGAAAAGAGCUAAGCCCUCAUCCUCCAUGGUGGGGAGUCAGUGGGUAACACUGAAACAAAAUUCACCAAGCAGCAUAUCAUCUAUCUAGAGACAAGGGGGUAAAUUAAAAAAAAAAAAAAAAAUGGCUAAAAGAGGUGCCUGCAAGCACUCUGAGAGUAGUAUCUGCUUUUCUUAUCUUUUUUAAAGAUAACAAUUGUAGAAUUGUUUGAUUCUUAGUAUGUGCUUAUAUGUAUAACUUUAAUAAAAAUGAAAACAAACAAUAACAAAAAGCCUUUGUACUUACCAAAAUUACUAAUGUCAUUUGACCCAGCAAUGCUAUUUCUAGGAAUUUAUCUUAUAAAUGAUUUGGUAAAAUAAUGGAAUACAAGGUAAUUCAUUACAACACUGUCUAUAAUAAUGAUUGGAAACAAACCAGGGUUUGGUUAAAUAAAUUGUUGCUUUUAUACAAAGGAAUGCUGUUCUGCUAUGAACUGGGAACAAAAAAGCCCUUUAUGUACUGAAAAGAAAGACCUCAAAGAUAAAUUACAUGUGGAAUGUUCAUCCUUGGAGUUGAAAAAAAAAUUACAUGAAAAAUGCACAAUUCAGUACACUGUAUGUAUGCUACAAUUUGGGUUUAAAAAAAAAGAGGGCUAGAAUAUAUAAAUACACAUAAUUUGUACAAAAUAUUCCUGGAAAAAUACAUUUGAAAAACCAAAUAAUAUUGGUUGCAUCUGGGAAGAUGUAUUGGGUGGGUAGGAAAUGGGUGGAGGAAGACUUUUACCCUAAACCCAUUUUAUGCAUUCUGAAAAUGUAGAAGGGUUACUUAUUUAAAAAACUAAGUAGGCUGGGCACGGUGGCUCAUGCCUGUAAUCCCAGCACUUUGGGAGGCCAAGGUGGGCGGAUCACAAGGUCAGGAGAUCGAGACCAUCCUGGCUAACAUGGUGAAACCCCGUCUCUACUAAAAACACACACAAAAAAAUUAGCUGGGUGUGGUGGCGGGCCCCUGUAGUCCCAGCUACUCGGGAGGCUGAGGCAAGAGAAUGGCAUGAACCCGGGAGGCAGAGCGUGCCGUGAGCCGAGAUCAUGCCACUGUACUCCAGCCUGGGCAAUAGAGCGAGACUCUGUCUCAAAAAAAAAAAAAAACUAAGUAAUGCUGGCUAAUAUGGUGAAACCCCGUCUCUACUAAAAAUACAAAAAAUUAGCCGGGCAUGGUGGCACGUGCCUGUAGUCCCAGCUACUUGGGAGGCUGAGGCAGGAGAGUCGCUUGAACUCAGGAGGUGGAGGUUGCAGUGAGCCGAGAUUGCGCCACUAUGGCCUGGUGACAGACUCUGUCUCAAAAAACAAAACACACAUACAAAAAAACCUAAGUAAUGCUAAUUGUUGCGGGAAGUCAGGGACCCCAAACGGAGGGACCGGCUGAAGCCAUGGCAGAAGAACGUGGAUUGUGAAGAUUUUAUGGACAUUUUAUUAGUUCCCCAAAUUAAUACUUUUAUAAUUUCUUAUGCCUGUCUUUACUGCAGUCUCUAAACAUAAAUUGUAAAGAUUUCAUGGACACUUAUCACUUCCCCAAUCAAUACCCUUGUGAUUUCCUAUGCCUGUCUACUUUAAUCUCUUAAUCCUGUCAGCUGAGGAGGAUAUAUAUCACCGCAGGACCCUGUAAUAAUUGCAUUAACUGCACAAAUUGUACACCAUGUGUGUUUGAGCAAUGUGAAAUGUGGGCACCUUGAAAAAAGAACAGGAUAACAGCAGUUGUUCAGGGAAUAAGAGAGAUAACCUUAAACUCUGACUACCAGUGAGCCGGGCGGAACAGCCACAUUUCUCUUCUUUCAAAAGCAAAUGGAAGAAAUAUUGCUGAAUUCUUUUUCUCAGCAUGGAACAUCCCGGAGGAAGAGAAUGUGCGCCUGCGGGUAGGUCUCUGAACUGGCCCCCCUGGGCGUAGCCAUCUCUUAUGGUCGAGGCUGCAGAGAUGAAAUAAACUCCAGUCUCCCAGAGCGCUCCCAGGCUUAUUAGGAAGAGGAAAUUCCCACCUAAUAAAUUUUGGUCAGAUCCGUUGAUCUCAAAACCCUGUCUCCUGGUAAGAUGUUAUCAAUGACAAUGGUGCCUGAAACUUCAUUAGCAAUUUUAAUUUUGCCUAGGUCCUGUGGUCCUGUGAUCUCACCCUGCCUCCACUUGCCUUGUGAUAUUCUAUUACCCUGUUAAGUACUUGAUGUCUGUCAUCCACACCUAUUCGCAAACUCCCUCCCCUUUUGAAAAUCUCUAAUAAAAACUUGCUGGUUUUUGUGGCUUAUGAGGCAUCACAGAUCCUACCAAAGUGUGAUGUCUCCCCGGACGCCCAGCUUUAAAAUUUCUCUCUUUUGUACUCUGUCCCUUUAUUUCUCAAGCUGGAAAACGCUUCGGAAAAAUAGAAAAGAACCUACGUGAUUAUCGGGGCAGGUUCCCCAAUAUCUGGCGCCCACGUGGUCUUUUGCAGGAUUCCUAGUGAGAGUGCAGAUAUGCAGGUGAGGACAGCAGGAAUGAAGACUGAUGGGUGAUUGCUUGAUUGUAUGUGGAGGGGAGGGAAAGGAGGAGUCUAGCAUGAGUCCCUGAUUUCUGGCUAUACAGUGAGAUAUGAUUGUGAUGCCAUUUUCUAGUAAUCGGAAUUUGGGAAGAAAAGAAAAAUGAGUUCCUUUACUUACUGCAUUUGAGGCAAUCUGGCUAAGGAUAUCCAGCAAGUGUCUGGAUAUGUGAGGCUGAAGCCGAACAGUAAAUCCCAUUUACUUCCCAGACUUCAAUUACAACCCAAGCACAACUCAACCUGUGUUGUGAAAAGAAAGACCUCAAAGAUAAAUUACAUGUGGAAUGUUCAUCCUUGGAGUUGAAAAAAAAAAUUACAUGAAAAAUGCACAAUUCAGAACACAACCCACCUGUGUUUGGGUUGUAAUUGAAGUCUGGGAGGUAAAUGGGAUUGUCAGGGAGAGAGUAUCAAGUGAGAAGAGGUUGUAGCUGAGUACUAGUAUUAAGAAGAGAGCAGAGAGCCCUCAAGGGAGCCUGAGAUACAGGGGCCAAAUCCAGCCUACUGCCGAUUUUUGUAAAAUACUCGUUUGUUGGAACAUAGAGACAUCAUUUAUGUGUUGUCUAUAGCUGCUUUCAUGCUGUCAGAACAGAAUUAAAUAGUUGUGACGGCACCUGGCUUGCAAAGCAAAACAAUUUUCAAUAUGGACCUUUGGAGAAGUUUUUCAAACCCCAUCUAGACUACUGCAGCAGCCCCCGUAGCACAAUGAGCAAGACUGUCUAUGACCUUGGCAGUUCAUUCUUGGUAGCCUGCAGAAUAAGUUAGCUGUGGCUGGAGUUUCCUCCUUCUAGGGAAAAGGCUGCACCCAAGCUCAGGUUCCCAUGGGACUGGUGCCUUCUUCAUCACAGGAGUGGAGAUUUUUAACAUCUCAUGGACAGCUGGCAUUUCCAGACAACUCCUGUAAACCAUUGGCACUCCAAAUCCAAACCACCUGUUGCCUAGCACCUUGUGUUUUCCCCCAUUGACGAGACUGCUUCUUCAAGCUUGCCCUAUUAAAAGGGAGACUAGUAGGAGGAUGUGCUCUUCUGAAACCAAACAGUAUUGGCCUUGGCUUACCUCUCCAUGGGAUAACAUGAGGAUGGUACCUUCUUUUUUCCUGGCCCUGUAAAUUUGUAUUUCCUCCAAUGAAGUUCAUUCCUUAACCCAUGCUAUGUAGCUUUGUGGAUUCACCCUGAAGGGUGGUGUAUGACAGCUGAUGACCCAGAAGACCCAUCUUGCAUGCCAAUGGAGACCUAGCACAACAGCUCCUAAUUGAUCUCCCUGCAUCCAUGUUAAUUCUCUUCAAUUGUAGUCUUCAUCUUGCAGCUAGAAUGGGUCUUUCUAAACAGAAUUGCCCACCUUCCUCCCACAACCCAAUUGAAAACACAAUAGCUCCCCAUUGGUCUUAAGACAUACCAAAAUACCCAAAUCUUUAAUAUGGUUUAAUGAGACUCAACAUGAUCUGGCCUCUGUCUUUUUCUCCAGCCUUAUUUCCCACCAUUCAUCCCUCUGGACUGCAGCCAGUCACUUGUAGUAAACACGUUUCCUUCUGCCCUUGAGCAUGUCCUGUUCCCUUUGUCUGAAAUACCUUGCUUUGCUUAAUUAACUCCAGCUCCUAGUCAUGUUCCCAAAACAUGAAACUCAGUUGAAAUUUUACAUUUAUCUGUAUGAUUAUUUGGUUACUGUUUUCCACACUAGACCAUAAGAUUCCAUAGAUCUCUUUUAAACCAGUAGCCUAGUUUAUAUUCAAAGUGCCUAGCAUAAAGUGGGUGCUUAAUGAAAUUAGUUGAACACAUUUUUAGGCAUAAUGUAGAAAGAAGCCAGGAUCCAAAUACCACCUACUGUAUGAUUAUAUAAAAUGUCUGGAGAAAGCAAAUCUACAAAGACCGAAAGAUGAUUAGUGGUUGCCAGGGGCUAGGGUUGGCAACACUGAGUGGCUAUAAACUGGCAUGAGGAAUUUUAUUGAGGUUAUGGAAAUGUUCUAAAACUGCACAACUCAGUAAAUUUACUAAAAAUCAUUGUAUUGUACAUUUAAAAUGGGUGACUUUUAUGGUAUGUAAAUUAUACCUCAAUAAAGGUGUUUAAAAAUAAAA
This is a long non-coding RNA of Symphalangus syndactylus (siamang), 5231 nucleotides long. RefSeq lists it as uncharacterized. NCBI's taxonomy places the organism in Eukaryota, Metazoa, Chordata, Mammalia, Primates, Hylobatidae. The record is from RefSeq and is a predicted model, not a curated record.